GGUAUGGCGGGUGCUAUACAUGCAGUCGAGCGAACAGACGAGGAGCUUGCUCCUCUGACGUUAGCGGCGGACGGGUGAGUAACACGUGGAUAACCUACCUAUAAGACUGGGAUAACUUCGGGAAACCGGAGCUAAUACCGGAUAAUAUAUUGAACCGCAUGGUUCAAUAGUGAAAGACGGUUUUGCUGUCACUUAUAGAUGGAUCCGCGCCGCAUUAGCUAGUUGGUAAGGUAACGGCUUACCAAGGCAACGAUGCGUAGCCGACCUGAGAGGGUGAUCGGCCACACUGGAACUGAGACACGGUCCAGACUCCUACGGGAGGCAGCAGUAGGGAAUCUUCCGCAAUGGGCGAAAGCCUGACGGAGCAACGCCGCGUGAGUGAUGAAGGUCUUCGGAUCGUAAAACUCUGUUAUUAGGGAAGAACAAAUGUGUAAGUAACUAUGCACGUCUUGACGGUACCUAAUCAGAAAGCCACGGCUAACUACGUGCCAGCAGCCGCGGUAAUACGUAGGUGGCAAGCGUUAUCCGGAAUUAUUGGGCGUAAAGCGCGCGUAGGCGGUUUUUUAAGUCUGAUGUGAAAGCCCACGGCUCAACCGUGGAGGGUCAUUGGAAACUGGAAAACUUGAGUGCAGAAGAGGAAAGUGGAAUUCCAUGUGUAGCGGUGAAAUGCGCAGAAA
RNAcentral lists this ribosomal RNA (677 nucleotides) under Staphylococcus sp. EA_L_64. RNAcentral's name for it is "bacterial SSU rRNA". It matches the Rfam family "Bacterial small subunit ribosomal RNA", at positions 38 to 696 of the family's 1533-position model. Lineage: Bacteria; Bacillati; Bacillota; Bacilli; Caryophanales; Staphylococcaceae. The record is from RNAcentral.